RNAcentral lists this unclassified non-coding RNA (247 nucleotides) under Hevea brasiliensis (rubber tree). Lineage: Eukaryota; Viridiplantae; Streptophyta; Magnoliopsida; Malpighiales; Euphorbiaceae. The record is from RNAcentral.
CUGAAAUAAAUACAAUAAAAUAAAAUAAAUCGCUCCCAAUUUUUCAAAAAUCCCUAAAAAAAAUAUGGCGAGAGAGAUCCCAAAAUCUAGCAAUGAAGAAGCGUUCAUCUCCUUGGGAAGCGAAUACUCCGAUCCUCAACAAUCCUUCUUCCGCGACCGAUUUUACGAACUUUACCCUCCGGAGUUCUCAAGAAAGCUUGUGGCGGAGGUGAUUGCGACGUAUUUGCUUGUGUUCGUGACGUGUGGG